This 392-nucleotide ribosomal RNA is filed under the name uncultured bacterium. RNAcentral describes it as "partial 16S ribosomal RNA". It matches the Rfam family "Bacterial small subunit ribosomal RNA", at positions 523 to 918 of the family's 1533-position model. The record is from RNAcentral.
AUACGUAGGGUGCGAGCGUUGUCCGGAUUUAUUGGGUUUAAAGGGAGCGUAGGCGGGAGCUUAAGUCAGCGGUUAAAUGGUGCGGCUCAACCGUGCCCCGCCGUCGAAACUGGGUUUCUUGAGAGUGCAAGAGGCGGAUGGAAUUCAUGGUGUAGCGGUGAAAUGCUUAGAUAUCAUGAAGAACUCCGAUUGCGAAGGCAGUCCGCUGGGGCACGUCUGACGCUGAUGCUCGAAGGUGCGGGAAUCAAACAGGAUUAGAUACCCUGGUAGUCCGCACGGUAAACGAUGAUUACCCGCUGUCGGCGGUAGACAGUCGGCGGCCAAGCGAAAGCGAUAAGUAAUCCACCUGGGGAGUACGGCCGCAAGGUUGAAACUCAAAGGAAUUGACGGGG